CCCGCAUCCGGAAUCGGAUCUGAUAUUGUAAAAUUUUGUCUUCACAGCCGCCAUUGUUAUCUGGUUAUGUGUUUACAGUGUUGUUUUUGUCAAUCAGAUACGAUUUUACUCAAAUUUAUACAAUAUUUGUCGGCGAUUUUCUGUAUAAAGCUAGCGGUUGAACAAAAUGAACAUCGCUGUCAUGAAUAAUAAUGAUAAAAAUAAGUUUUUAGCUUGUUUAAUUGGAGACUUUGGUGAACAUGGUGAAAAGGUUUGCAAAGUAAUUUCUUAUUUUCUUUCAGGUGGAAGGUGACUACGUCGGGCGUAGCUAGAAACCCGCUAUCCUAUUCGAAAUUCCGCUUGCAAAAGUGGAA
RNAcentral lists this long non-coding RNA (353 nucleotides) under Mytilus galloprovincialis (Mediterranean mussel). The record is from RNAcentral. Lineage: Eukaryota; Metazoa; Mollusca; Bivalvia; Mytilida; Mytilidae.